AUUUGUUUAACUAUGGCAAUAGGAAGUUGGCAAUAUAUUAUCUGCAUAAAAUGUUUGUAUUAGUGUUUAUAUUUAGAUAUUAUUUAAUUUAUUAGCAGAUAAAUCUUUGUUGGAAUUAGCGUUUUUUGGGAAUAUAUUGCAAAAAGGGGAUAGGACACAGUGCCAGCAUCUGCGGUUAGUCUGUUAUCUUUGCUUUCUUAUAGACUAUACUUUUUUAAUUAUAAAUAAAGUUGGGUGAAAUCUUUUUAUUUUUGUAUUAUAUAAUUAUAAGGUGAAAAGUAAAAUAUAAUGACAGGGAUUAGAUACCCCAUUAAUUUAUUAUUUAAUUUUGUCUUAGUUUUUAACUAAAAUAGUUUGGCAGCGAGCGAUUCUUGUUGGGGGAAGGUGUGUUGUAAAGGAUGAUCCGCCUAUUAAUUUACUUUUAUUAUGUUGGUGUAUAUCUGGUUUAAUAUUAUUGUUUAGUUACUAGUUAAUUUGUGUAAAAUUUAUUUAAGCCAAGUCUAUGUGCUGCUUGUAGAAGUUCUCAUGCGUUACUUUUAUAAAGGUUAUAUUGUAAUAUUUAAUUAUUUAGGACUCAAAAGUAAUGUUUUAUUAGUUUGGAAACGUGAAUUAAGUUUAGCUCGGGUACACACCGCCCGUCACCCUCGGCGUAUGUUGAGGUAAGUCAUAACAAGGUAACUUUAAAGGAAUUUGAAGUUGGAUGUUUGAGUAAAUAAUUUAUUCAAACUAUA
Molecule: ribosomal RNA, 731 nt
Filed under: Paruterina candelabraria
Lineage: Eukaryota; Metazoa; Platyhelminthes; Cestoda; Cyclophyllidea; Paruterinidae
Description: small subunit ribosomal RNA
Source: RNAcentral